RNAcentral lists this ribosomal RNA (800 nucleotides) under Algoriphagus sp. RNAcentral describes it as "bacterial SSU rRNA". It matches the Rfam family "Bacterial small subunit ribosomal RNA", at positions 64 to 866 of the family's 1533-position model. The record is from RNAcentral. Lineage: Bacteria; Pseudomonadati; Bacteroidota; Cytophagia; Cytophagales; Cyclobacteriaceae.
GAACGGUAGUUCCGAUUUAUCGGAAUGAGAGUGGCGCACGGGUGCGUAACGCGUAUGCAACCUACCCUAUACAGGGGGAUAGCCCGGAGAAAUCUGGAUUAAUACCCCAUGGUACCAAGUUGAGGCAUUUUGAUUUGGUUAAAGAUUCAUCGGUAUAGGAUGGGCAUGCGUCUGAUUAGCUAGUUGGCGGUGUAACGGACCACCAAGGCGACGAUCAGUAGGGGUUCUGAGAGGAAGGUCCCCCACACUGGCACUGAGAUACGGGCCAGACUCCUACGGGAGGCAGCAGUAGGGAAUAUUGGGCAAUGGACGAGAGUCUGACCCAGCCAUGCCGCGUGCAGGAAGACGGCGUUCUGCGUUGUAAACUGCUUUUAUCUGGGAAGAAAAGGCCCAUGCGUGGGACAUUGCCGGUACCAGAUGAAUAAGCACCGGCUAACUCCGUGCCAGCAGCCGCGGUAAUACGGAGGGUGCAAGCGUUGUCCGGAUUUAUUGGGUUUAAAGGGUGCGUAGGCGGCUAUUUAAGUCAGUGGUGAAAGACUCCGGCUCAACCGGGGCAGUGCCAUUGAUACUGGAUAGCUUGAGUAUUGGAGGGGUACAUGGAAUUGAUGGUGUAGCGGUGAAAUGCAUAGAUACCAUCAGGAACACCGAUAGCGAAGGCAUUGUACUGGCCAAUAACUGACGCUGAUGCACGAAAGCAUGGGGAGCGAACAGGAUUAGAUACCCUGGUAGUCCAUGCCGUAAACGAUGAUUACUCGCUGUUAUGUCUUUAUGAUGUAGCGGCCAAGCGAAAGCGUUAAGUA